Molecule: ribosomal RNA, 497 nt
Filed under: uncultured bacterium
Lineage: Bacteria
Description: partial 16S ribosomal RNA
Rfam family: Bacterial small subunit ribosomal RNA
Source: RNAcentral
GAUGAACGCUGGCGGCGUGCCUAAUACAUGCAAGUCGAGCGAACAGACGAGGAGCUUGCUCCUUUGACGUUAGCGGCGGACGGGUGAGUAACACGUAGGUAACCUACCUAUAAGACUGGGAUAACUUCGGGAAACCGGAGCUAAUACCGGAUAAUAUUUCGAACCGCAUGGUUCGAUAGUGAAAGAUGGCUUUGCUAUCACUUAUAGAUGGACCUGCGCCGUAUUAGCUAGUUGGUAAGGUAACGGCUUACCAAGGCAACGAUACGUAGCCGACCUGAGAGGGUGAUCGGCCAAAAUGGAACUGAGACACGGUCCAGACUCCUAAGGGAGGCAGCAGUAGGGAAUCUUCCGAAAUGGGCGAAAGCCUGACGGAGCAACGCCGCGUGAGUGAUGAAGGUCUUCGGAUCGUAAAACUCUGUUAUUAGGGAAGAACAAACGUGUAAGUAACUGUGCACGUCUUGACGGUACCUAAUCAGAAAGCCACGGCUAACUACGUG